RNAcentral lists this ribosomal RNA (260 nucleotides) under uncultured bacterium. RNAcentral describes it as "partial 16S ribosomal RNA". It matches the Rfam family "Bacterial small subunit ribosomal RNA", at positions 793 to 1055 of the family's 1533-position model. The record is from RNAcentral.
GUCCACGCCCUAAACGAUGCAUACUUGGUGUGGGCUCUUCACUGAGUCCGUGCCGGAGCUAACGCGUUAAGUAUGCCGCCUGGGGAGUACGGUCGCAAGGCUGAAACUCAAAGGAUUGACGGGGCCGCACAAGCGGUGGAGCAUGUGGUUCAAUUCGACGCAACGCGAAGAACCUUACCUGGGCUCGAACGGCUGUGGACCGCGGCAGAAAUGUCGCUUUCCCUUCGGGGACUGCAGUCGAGGUGCUGCAUGGCUGUCGU